GGGCGCAUGGUUUAGUGGUAUAACACUCCCUUAGCAUGGCUGUUUAGUCAUCAGGAAUUGGGAGAGGUCUAGGGUUCGAUUCCCUAUGUGUCCA
This is a non-coding RNA of Coniella lustricola, 94 nucleotides long. The record is from the annotation of a GenBank genome assembly. NCBI's taxonomy places the organism in Eukaryota, Fungi, Ascomycota, Sordariomycetes, Diaporthales, Schizoparmaceae.